Molecule: ribosomal RNA, 186 nt
Filed under: uncultured bacterium
Lineage: Bacteria
Description: partial 16S ribosomal RNA
Rfam family: Bacterial small subunit ribosomal RNA
Source: RNAcentral
CCUGCAUGAAGUCGGAAUUGCUAGUAAUCGUAGGUCAGCAUACUACGGUGAAUACGUUCCCGGGCCUUGUACACACCGCCCGUCAAACCAUGAGAGUUGGCAACACCCGAAGUCGGUAGUCUAACCGCAGGGAGGACGCCGCCGAAGGUGGGGUUGAUGAUUAGGGUUAAGUCGUAACAAGGUAAC